RNAcentral lists this ribosomal RNA (295 nucleotides) under Bacillus altitudinis. RNAcentral's name for it is "16S rRNA. Bacterial SSU". It matches the Rfam family "Bacterial small subunit ribosomal RNA", at positions 1 to 284 of the family's 1533-position model. The record is from RNAcentral. Lineage: Bacteria; Bacillati; Bacillota; Bacilli; Caryophanales; Bacillaceae.
CUUUUUCGGAGAGUUUGAUCCUGGCUCAGGACGAACGCUGGCGGCGUGCCUAAUACAUGCAAGUCGAGCGGACAGAAGGGAGCUUGCUCCCGGAUGUUAGCGGCGGACGGGUGAGUAACACGUGGGUAACCUGCCUGUAAGACUGGGAUAACUCCGGGAAACCGGAGCUAAUACCGGAUAGUUCCUUGAACCGCAUGGUUCAAGGAUGAAAGACGGUUUCGGCUGUCACUUACAGAUGGACCCGCGGCGCAUUAGCUAGUUGGUGAGGUAACGGCUCACCAAGGCGACGAUGCGU